This 101-nucleotide transfer RNA is filed under the name Nostoc sp. UHCC 0702. Its description in RNAcentral is "tRNA-Pro". It matches the Rfam family "tRNA". Rfam says of the family: Transfer RNA (tRNA) molecules are approximately 80 nucleotides in length. Their secondary structure includes four short double-helical elements and three loops (D, anti-codon, and T loops). Further hydrogen bonds mediate the characteristic L-shaped molecular structure. tRNAs have two regions of fundamental functional importance: the anti-codon, which is responsible for specific mRNA codon recognition, and the 3' end, to which the tRNAs corresponding amino acid is attached (by aminoacyl-tRNA synthetases). tRNAs cope with the degeneracy of the genetic code in two manners: having more than one tRNA (with a specific anti-codon) for a particular amino acid; and 'wobble' base-pairing, i.e. permitting non-standard base-pairing at the 3rd anti-codon position. The record is from RNAcentral. Lineage: Bacteria; Bacillati; Cyanobacteriota; Cyanophyceae; Nostocales; Nostocaceae.
CGGGGUGUAGCGCAGCUUGGCAGCGCGCCUGCUUUGGGAGCAGGAUGUCGCAGGUACCCUUCGGGAAGCCGCUAACGCGUCUACAAAUCCUGCCACCCCGA